UCCUUACCAGCGGGAAGGAGGAAGCCCAGGCUUCUGGGGUCAGGACGCUGAAUGCAUUUUACUUUUUGGCCACUUUCUCUUGAGGCCUGGGAUCUUUGCCUGCCGUCUGAGCCUCUUUCCCAUAGUACCACAGUGGGGUCUUGGGUCAUGCCAUCGGCCAGACUUUAAUUCAAGUGCUUUGGAAUCCCCACGUUCCAGCCGGCGAUGAGCCUGUGUCUGUCUGCUCUGGGGACCCAUACUCUGAGCCCCAAGUCCCGGGCCCGGCAGAGGACGCCAGACGAGGGGGCAGGUGGAACGUUCACUGUGGCCUGGGAGCCUGGAGUCGCCUGUCGGGACCAGGGAGGCUCCGAUGGCUACAGGUUUUCCUGCUGCUUUGGUUGAGGCAAAUCUGGAUUGCUUUAGCGUCCCGCUGUCACCCAGGACCUUGUCUUGGCCUCCCCUCGGGACCUCGGAAUCGAGCAGGUGUCCAGAGGGUUGGCUCAGCAUGUCGGUCAGCGUCCAUGAGACCCGCAAGUCGCGGAGCAGCACGGGCUCCAUGAACAUCACGCUGUUCCACAAGGCCUCGCACCCCGACUGCGUGCUGGCGCACCUCAACACGCUGCGCAAGCACCGCAUGUUCACGGACGUCACGCUCUGGGCCGGCGACCGCGCCUUCCCCUGCCACCGCGCCGUGCUGGCCGCCUCCAGCCGCUACUUCGAGGCCAUGUUCAGCCACGGCCUGCGGGAGAGCCGCGACGACACGGUCAACUUCCAGGACAACCUGCACCCCGAGGUGCUGGAGCUGCUGCUGGACUUCGCCUACUCGUCCCGCAUCGUCAUCAACGAGGAGAACGCAGAGUCGCUGCUCGAGGCGGGUGACAUGCUGCAGUUCCAUGACGUGCGUGAUGCAGCUGCCGAGUUCCUGGAGAAGAACCUGUUCCCGUCCAACUGCCUGGGCAUGAUGCUGCUGUCGGAUGCCCACCAGUGCCGCCGGCUCUACGAGUUCUCGUGGCGCAUGUGCCUGGUGCACUUCGAGGCCGUGCGGCAGAGCGAGGACUUCAACAGCCUGUCCAAGGACACCCUGCUGGACCUCAUCUCGAGUGACGAGCUGGAGGCGGAGGACGAGCGUGUGGUCUUUGAGGCCAUCCUGCAGUGGGUCAGGCACGACCUGGAGCGGCGCAAGGCCCACCUGCCUGAGCUGCUGCGCGGUGUGCGGCUGGCCCUGCUGCCGUCCGACUGCCUGAAGGAGGCCGUGUCGGGUGAGGCCCUGCUCAUGGCCGACGAGCGCACCCGGCUCAUCGUGGACGAGGCGCUGCGCUGCAAGGCCCGCAUCCUACAGAACGACGGCGUGGUCACCAGCCCCUGUGCCCGGCCGCGCAGGGCCGGACACACGCUGCUCAUCCUCGGGGGCCAGACCUUCAUGUGUGACAAGAUCUACCAGGUGGACCACAAGGCCAAGGAGAUCAUCCCCAAGGCGGACCUGCCCAGCCCCCGCAAGGAGUUCAGCGCCUCGGCCAUCGGCUGCAAGGUCUAUGUGACCGGGGGCCGGGGCUCCGAGAACGGGGUCUCUAAGGACGUGUGGGUGUACAACACCGUCCACGAGGAGUGGUCCAAGGCGGCGCCCAUGCUCAUCGCCCGCUUCGGCCACGGCUCGGCCGAGCUGGAGAACUGCCUCUACGUGGUCGGAGGGCACACGUCCCUGGCUGGCGUCUUCCCGGCCUCGCCGUCUGUCUCCCUGAAGCAGGUGGAGAAGUACGACCCCGGGGCUAACAAGUGGACGAUGGUGGCGCCGCUGAGGGAUGGCGUCAGCAAUGCCGCGGUCGUGAGCGCCAAGCUGAAGCUCUUUGUCUUCGGGGGGACCAGCAUCCACCGGGACAUGGUGUCCAAAGUCCAGUGCUACGACCCUGCAGAGAACCGGUGGACGAUCAAGGCCGAGUGUCCCCAGCCUUGGCGGUACACCGCUGCCGCCGUCCUGGGCAGCCAGAUAUUCAUCAUGGGAGGUGACACGGAGUACACAGCUGCCUCGGCCUACCGCUUCGACUGCGAGACCAACCAGUGGACGCGGAUCGGGGACAUGACUGCCAAGCGCAUGUCCUGCCACGCCCUGGCCUCGGGCAACAAGCUCUACGUGGUGGGGGGCUACUUUGGGACCCAGCGGUGUAAGACCCUGGACUGCUAUGACCCCACCUCGGACACGUGGAACUGCAUCACCACCGUGCCCUACUCACUCAUCCCCACGGCCUUCGUCAGCACCUGGAAGCACCUGCCCGCAUGAGGCGCACCUGUAGAGCCCAACCAGCUCUGAGGAGCCAGCCCCGUGCCGUUCAGGUCACAGGAACCCCGUCAGGAGCUGGCCAGAGCGGAGAAAUUAAUUUCCUCAAUGACCUGGCGGCUGCUGACAAGAACGCUGAAAGCUCUGCACGGCGAAAGCAAUCGUACUUAGCUGGGAUUGCUUCUGAAUGGAAUCUGAUGUCUCAGCUAUUAAAUCAAAUCCAGCCGUGCCUUCGAGGCCCUUAAAGAGAUGAGGAAACCAGGCCUCAGAGAAGCAACUGCCAGAAAUCAGGGUGGCGCAGACCAGGACGGCCAUGGGACGCGCCUGAGUGAUCCAGGCAGUGCGGCUCCCCAGCUCCUCUGCCUUCAGGGUGCCACCUCUUCCUCAGCAACUCGGGACAGCCCAGAAGGGCCACCCCCCAGCUCUUUUGUUAGUGUGUGAUGGCUGUAUACAUCUAUUCGUACGAGCCUGAAGUUUCUCCCACUGAAGGAUGAUCCAUGGAGACAGCAGUAGCUGUGUCUGCCCUUCCUGUUUCCCCAGGCCUGGAACGGUGCCUGCCGGUUUGAGGGUGCUCAGGUGCACAUGGCUGGAGGGGCUGAAUGGACCCAUGAGUAGUUCCCAUAUUCUAGACGCUGUGUGUUUCUCCCCACCCCAUGGCUGCAGCCCUCACUGUUGCACGGUGGCCCUGACCCUGUCUGCCACGGCGGGAAGCUCAGCCCGGCCCCAGGCCAGUACUCUGAGCAGCUGGAAGUCGGCCCCACCAGCUCUGGGUGGCUUCGGGGGCUGCUCUGAGUGGCUUUGGGGGCUGCUCUGAGCUUCAGAGAAGAAAAUCCAUCUCCAGCGCCCUGUGUGUCUGGCUGAGGCCUUUCCUGCUUUGCAGUGGUUUGCAGGGGAGAGGACCUUUCAAGGGGGGGUGUGGACGGAUGCCAGGACUCCCUCAGCCUCAGGGAGAAGGACAUGUUUGCAGAGCUUUGAGGUCGCCUAUUUCAGCAAGUUCUGGACUGGG
This is an RNA transcript of Lagenorhynchus albirostris (white-beaked dolphin), 3257 nucleotides long. It is a transcript of the gene named kelch like family member 25, with no coding region annotated. The record is from RefSeq and is a predicted model, not a curated record. NCBI's taxonomy places the organism in Eukaryota, Metazoa, Chordata, Mammalia, Artiodactyla, Delphinidae. The transcript is spliced from 6 exons.